UGAUGUCACUAGGUUUGGAGCUGAUCUGCAGCUCUGAUACCCUGAUGCCAACAUCCUUCCCUUUUUCUUAUCAUAAAGAAGGAAAACAGUGGGAGGGGGAAGGUGAUAGUAAAAAGGAAAUGGGAGCAUCGUGUCUCUUAAGUUGCUUCCUGCUGUCUAGGGGCAUCAUCAGUUUGGGGGUGUAGCUGACUUGAUUAAUGAGGCAGGGAGCGAACAAUAACACCAGGAGAAUGACUAGAAGAGGAGUUAUGAAAGAUUGAUCAACACAGAAACAGCAUUCUUCUUGGAGGAACAGGCAAAGACCACCUUCUUUAGCUGUUAGGAUGUCUAGUCCCCAUCAGUUCUGAAGCACCACAGCUGCCAAAGAAUUGAUCUGUUUCUGAAUAGCAAGCACGGUUUCAGACAUUUUUUGGAAAACCACUGUUAAACUAGAAAGUGAAUUUAUUAUAUUUGGUCAUGAAAGUAGUUAUCCCUGUAAUUCCAGUUUCCAGCACCUAUGGCUAUUCCCUCAGUGACCAAGAGUGGCACAACCUGAACUCAAAUUCUGUCCACAGGAAUCCACAGGGCUCCACAGGAAUCUUGGGUUAAAUUCCUGUUUGACAAAAUAGAUAAGGCCUAAUAAUAGGCACAUACAGUAUUUUAGUUUGUUUCAUUUGUUUUGGAUUGUUUUAGUUUUCAAAAUGGGUGUGAUUUUGAGUUUUGUGGUUAUACUAUUCCUCUGGGAAUGGAGAGAUAUAAAUAAAGGGUUUUCUGAUUACUAGCUCAAGGA
Molecule: long non-coding RNA, 769 nt
Organism: Mastomys coucha (southern multimammate mouse)
Lineage: Eukaryota; Metazoa; Chordata; Mammalia; Rodentia; Muridae
Exons: 2
Source: RefSeq, a predicted model, not a curated record